AACGAACGCUGGCGGCAUGCCUAACACAUGCAAGUCGAACGAGCCCUCCGGGUCUAGUGGCGUACGGGUGCGUCACGCGUGGGAACCUGCCCUCAUGUUCGGAAUAACUCCCCGACAGGGGUGCUAAUACCGGAUAAUGUCUUCUGACCAAUGAUUUAUCGCCUUUGGUUGUGCCCGCGUUGGAUUAGAUUGUUCGUACGGUAAUAGCAUACCAAGGCGACGAUGCAUAGCUGGUAUGAGAGGAUGAUCAGCCACACUGGGAGUGAGACGCGGCCGAGAAUCCUACGGGAGGGGGCAGAGGGGAAUAGAGGAAAGUGGGCGGAAGGAUGAACCAGCAAUGAUGGGAGAGUGAUGAAGGUCUGAGGGUUGUAAAGCUCAAGUAACCAGGAAGAUAAUGACAGUACCGGGAGAAAAAGCCACGGCUAACUACGUG
RNAcentral lists this ribosomal RNA (433 nucleotides) under uncultured bacterium. Its description in RNAcentral is "partial 16S ribosomal RNA". It matches the Rfam family "Bacterial small subunit ribosomal RNA", at positions 29 to 507 of the family's 1533-position model. The record is from RNAcentral.